UACGGCGGGGGCUAGCGUUGUUCGGAAUUACUGGGCGUAAAGAGCACGUAGGCGGCGGUGCAAGUUGGGGGUGAAAUCCCAGGGCUCAACCCUGGAAUUGCCUCCAAAACUGUGCUGCUUGAGUUCGGAAGAGGAGAGUGGAAUUCCCAGUGUAGAGGUGAAAGUCGUAGAUAUUGGGAAGAACACCGGUGGCGAAGGCGGCGCACUGGCGCAUUACUGACGCUCAGGCGCGACAGCGUGGGGAUCAAACAGG
Molecule: ribosomal RNA, 253 nt
Filed under: uncultured bacterium
Lineage: Bacteria
Description: partial 16S ribosomal RNA
Rfam family: Bacterial small subunit ribosomal RNA
Source: RNAcentral